Molecule: ribosomal RNA, 589 nt
Filed under: Staphylococcus haemolyticus
Lineage: Bacteria; Bacillati; Bacillota; Bacilli; Caryophanales; Staphylococcaceae
Description: bacterial SSU rRNA
Rfam family: Bacterial small subunit ribosomal RNA
Source: RNAcentral
GAGCUUGCUCCUUUGACGUUAGCGGCGGACGGGUGAGUAACACGUGGGUAACCUACCUAUAAGACUGGGAUAACUUCGGGAAACCGGAGCUAAUACCGGAUAAUAUUUCGAACCGCAUGGUUCGAUAGUGAAAGAUGGUUUUGCUGUCACUUAUAGAUGGACCCGCGCCGUAUUAGCUAGUUGGUAAGGUAACGGCUUACCAAGGCGACGAUACGUAGCCGACCUGAGAGGGUGAUCGGCCACACUGGAACUGAGACACGGUCCAGACUCCUACGGGAGGCAGCAGUAGGGAAUCUUCCGCAAUGGGCGAAAGCCUGACGGAGCAACGCCGCGUGAGUGAUGAAGGUCUUCGGAUCGUAAAACUCUGUUAUUAGGGAAGAACAUACGUGUAAGUAACUAUGCACGUCUUGACGGUACCUAAUCAGAAAGCCACGGCUAACUACGUGCCAGCAGCCGCGGUAAUACGUAGGUGGCAAGCGUUAUCCGGAAUUAUUGGGCGUAAAGCGCGCGUAGGCGGUUUUUUAAGUCUGAUGUGAAAGCCCACGGCUCAACCGUGGAGGGUCAUUGGAAACUGGAAAACUUGAGUGCA